Molecule: non-coding RNA, 1264 nt
Organism: Phascolarctos cinereus (koala)
Lineage: Eukaryota; Metazoa; Chordata; Mammalia; Diprotodontia; Phascolarctidae
Source: RefSeq, a predicted model, not a curated record
AGAGCCGCAGCUGGACAGACUCCAUUUCCGGGACGAACUUACCUAAACUGGGGAGAAGAGUGCACUCAGUCCUGAGCGGAGGGAAACGAGAUGCUUGUGAUAGUGAAUGUCCCAGUACUUCUGGAACAUCUCAGACUCACAGAAGUGUGAAGAAGAUGAAAUUUCAUGGAAAUUCUCCUUGCCAGUCCUUGCCACUGAGGAGAUCAGACAGGAUCCUCCAAUUUGGAAAAGACACUUUCCAAAACAGAUGAUACAGCUGGACCUGGAAGUGGCCCUAAGACACGGUUCAGGGCUGUGAUUGAAGGAGAAAAACAAAACAUCCGGAAGCAGUGUGCAGCCCAGCUCCCCCUAAAAGGAAAGCUAGGUUGGCUCUUUGGCAUGUUCCACUGCUGCUUCGAAAAUACCUGGUACCACCUGACCACAGCUGCCUCCCUGCAGGCCAUCUUUGUCUUAAUCAGGUGCACAGGAGCCAGCCCUGUGGACUCAUGAUCCAUUGUGAAUUCCGACAGUUUCUCAAGCCUCCAGCCCUCAACAGAGUUUUCCGAGACCAGCCAUUUGGGGCAUAUGAUGCUUUUGCACCUUAGAACCCAGUGCUGACACCAAGGGAACACAAAGUGAGCAGAUGAGGAAUAUCUGAAGGGUGGGAGAUGAGAAAGGGAGUGAAUGGGAGGUGGAGGUCACCAAUCAAAAUGCUAGCAAGGGAGAGAAGGAGAAGAAAGAGACCAAGGCUGAAGAAAGACCUAGCGAUGGAAUGGAUGACAUCUUGUCAUAGGCAGACUUCAGUUUCUCACCUAUCCGGGCAAGGCCCAGAGCAAGAGCAGGUCCUGCUCAGAGGUGGGACAAUAACAGCUGCCAGGUAGAAGGCAGAGACAAGGGAUGUCGAGAAACUUUCAGAUCGGUUUUUGUCUUUGUGGUUUCCAGCAGGUCAUAUUGCAUUUACUUCAUGAAAAGCUUUAGAAUAUCAUGAAUAUUAUAAAAAAUUAAGAGUGGCCCUAACAACUGGCAUCAGAGUAAACCUUGGGAUCACUGAUUCUUUCCAAAGGACAAGAACAACUUUCUGCCCUGGUACAUUUACUAUAGCAAACUGAUUUACUUUGGAAAUGAGUUUUCCUCCUAGGAUUAAUGUCGGCAUCAUUAUUGGAGGGAAGCUAAAUUAUCUCCCAUCUUCAGGAAAUACUUAAAAGAAACCAAACAGGCAACAGCAAACUAGAAUCCUAAAAUGAACACAGACUCCACUCCAGUGCCUGCCGAGUCCUUAUCCAUC